CCGAUCUUAGCUCAGUUGGUAGAGCGGAGGACUGUAGUAGUUACAAAAUAUCCUUAGGUCACUGGUUCGAAUCCGGUAGGUCGGA
Molecule: transfer RNA, 85 nt
Filed under: Brassica napus (rape)
Lineage: Eukaryota; Viridiplantae; Streptophyta; Magnoliopsida; Brassicales; Brassicaceae
Description: tRNA tRNA-Tyr
Rfam family: tRNA
About the family: Transfer RNA (tRNA) molecules are approximately 80 nucleotides in length. Their secondary structure includes four short double-helical elements and three loops (D, anti-codon, and T loops). Further hydrogen bonds mediate the characteristic L-shaped molecular structure. tRNAs have two regions of fundamental functional importance: the anti-codon, which is responsible for specific mRNA codon recognition, and the 3' end, to which the tRNAs corresponding amino acid is attached (by aminoacyl-tRNA synthetases). tRNAs cope with the degeneracy of the genetic code in two manners: having more than one tRNA (with a specific anti-codon) for a particular amino acid; and 'wobble' base-pairing, i.e. permitting non-standard base-pairing at the 3rd anti-codon position.
Source: Rfam by way of RNAcentral